This 497-nucleotide ribosomal RNA is filed under the name uncultured bacterium. RNAcentral describes it as "partial 16S ribosomal RNA". It matches the Rfam family "Bacterial small subunit ribosomal RNA", at positions 28 to 507 of the family's 1533-position model. The record is from RNAcentral.
GAUGAACGCUGGCGGCGUGCCUAAUACAUGCAAGUCGAGCGAACGGACGAGAAGCUUGCUUUUCGGAUGUUAGCGGCGGACGGGUGAGUAACACGUGGAUAACCUACCUAUAAGACUGGGAUAAUUUCGGGAAACCGGAGCUAAUACCGGAGAAUAUUUUGAACCGCAUGGGUCAAAAGUGAAAUACGGUCUUGCUGUCACGUCUAGAUGGAUACGCGCUGCAUUAGCUAGUUGGUAAGUUAACGGCUUACCAAGGCAACGAGGCAUAGCCGACCUGAGAGGGUGAUCGGCCACACUGGAACUGAGACACGGUCCAGACUCCUACGGGAGGCAGCAGUAGGGAAUCUUCCGCAAUGGGCGAAAGCCUGACGGAGCAACGCCGCGUGCGUGAUGAAGGUCUUCGGAUCGUAAAACUCUGUUAUUAGGGAAGAACAUAUGUGUAAGUAACUGUGCACAUCUUGACGGUACCUAAGCAGAAAGCCACGGCUAACUACGUG